This 257-nucleotide ribosomal RNA is filed under the name Candidatus Avoscillospira stercorigallinarum. Its description in RNAcentral is "partial 16S ribosomal RNA". It matches the Rfam family "Bacterial small subunit ribosomal RNA", at positions 1 to 239 of the family's 1533-position model. The record is from RNAcentral. Lineage: Bacteria; Bacillati; Bacillota; Clostridia; Eubacteriales; Oscillospiraceae.
UUUAUUGAGAGUUUGAUCCUGGCUCAGGACGAACGCUGGCGGCGUGCCUAACACAAGCAAGUCAAACGGGGCUCUUUGGAUCGAGACUUCGGUCAAGUGAAGCUGAGCUUAGUGGCGGACGGGUGAGUAACGCGUGAGCAACCUGCCUUUCAGAGGGGGAUAACGUCUUGAAAAGGACGCUAAUACCGCAUGAUAUUAUGGAGCCACAUGGCUCUAUAAUCAAAGGAGCAAUCCGCUGAAAGAUGGGCUCGCGUCCG